AUUGAACGCUGGCGGCAUGCCUUACACAUGCAAGUCGAACGGCAGCACGGGUGCUUGCACCUGGUGGCGAGUGGCGAACGGGUGAGUAAUACAUCGGAACGUACCUUAUCGUGGGGGAUAACGCAGCGAAAGCUGUGCUAAUACCGCAUACGCCCUGAGGGGGAAAGCGGGGGAUCGCAAGACCUCGCGCGAUUAGAGCGGCCGAUGCCUGAUUAGCUUGUUGGUGGGGUAAAAGCCCACCAAGGCGACGAUCAGUAGCUGGUCUGAGAGGACGAUCAGCCCCACUGGGACUGAGACACGGCCCAGACUCCUACGGGAGGCAGCAGUGGGGAAUUUUGGACAAUGGGGGCAACCCUGAUCCAGCAAUGCCGCGUGAGUGAAGAAGUCCUUCGGGUUGUAAAGCUCUUUUGUCAGGGAAGAAACACCGGCUCUAACACAGUCCGGGAAUGACGGUACCUGAAGAAUAAGCACCGGCUAACUACGUGCCAGCAGCCGCGGUAA
This 501-nucleotide ribosomal RNA is filed under the name uncultured bacterium. RNAcentral's name for it is "partial 16S ribosomal RNA". It matches the Rfam family "Bacterial small subunit ribosomal RNA", at positions 30 to 523 of the family's 1533-position model. The record is from RNAcentral.